UCAGAGGAGCAAAUCAAGAAUCAAACUUUGUUUGAAAUUGAAAGGCUUUUGUUAUCUAAUGGAAGUUCUUUAACAAAUUUCCGUGAAAUCCCAUUUCCUGAUGAUAACAAUAUCCCAACUGCGAUCAACAUGCUCAUAAGUGAUGAAUUAUGUUACGAUAGGCAAGCGUGUCAAGAGGAAUAUCACCGUUUGCUACCUAUGUUGAACAUUGAACAGAAGAAUAUAUUUGAGCGUAUAAUGGCUACAGUGGAUUCAAAAGAAGGAGGUGUUUUCUUUGUCUAUGGAUUUGGAGGCACAGGCAAAACGUUUUUAUGGAAAACUCUAUCUACUUACAUUCGAUCAAAAAGGGAGAUUGUCAUAAAUGUAGCAUCCAGUGCAAUGGCUGCAUUGUUAUUAGAAGGUGGUCGCACGGCGCAUUCUCGAUUUUCAAUACCAAUACAGGUACACGAGACUUCAACUUGCACCAUUACUCCUGAUAGUGAUAUUGCAGCUUUGUUAGAAGAAGCAAAGUUGAUCAUCUGGGAUGAGGCUCCAAUGAUGCAUAAACAUUGUUUCGAAGCUUUAGAUCGAUCUUUGAAAGAUAUUCUCAACCCUACCAAACCUUUUGGAGGUAAGACUGUUGUCUUUGGAGGCGAUUUUCGCCAGAUUUUACCGGUGGUCCCUAAAGGUAGUCGAGAACAGAUUGUUCAAGCUUCACUAUCUUCUUCGUCUCUGUGGAAUUCUUGCCAAGUUCUUUCAUUAACAAAGAACAUGCGACUAACUGUGGAGUCAGAUCCAUUAGAAGUGGAUAUCAUCAAAGAGUUUUCUGAGUGGAUACUAAAACUUGGAGACGGUAAACUUUCUGAGCCAAACAACGGUGAAGCGGAGAUAGAUAUACCAGAGGAUAUGCUUCUCAAAGACUCUUUGGAUCCAAUCAAUUCAAUCGCACUUAGCACAUAUCCGUCUUUGCUUCAGAAUCUUGAUGAUGGGGACUAUUUCAAGGAACGUGCGAUACUUUGUCCUACUAAUGAUGUUGUUGAUGAGGUAAACAAUUACAUCAUGGACCUUCUUCCAGGAGAAUCACAUCAAUAUUAUAGUUCAGAUAAGAUCUGCAGUUCAGAUUCUUCAAGGACGAGGGACGAUGUUAUCUAAUAAAUCACAAGUAAAUUUUCAAGUAACUGCAACAUCCUCCAUAUGACACCUGGCUUAAGUCCCAAUUUUUUAUCUUUCAGCUUUUAAAACAACCAUUAUAUACAUCUCAGACCCCACGAUCUCAAUAUCUAUUUUGUAUUGUUCCCACCAUUAACUUUUACAAUCGACAGUUAUCAUCUUCUACCACCGGAUCCUGUCAAGUGUUUCUCCACCAUUACCUCCUUCAUAGGUUUUUAACUUCUGUCAAAUUUCCAUAUUUAUUGAUUCUCUACUCUUGACAUCAACCUGAAAUUGAUUUGUAUUAAACAAAACUCUUUAUUAUCGAAGGCCAAUAUAAAUGAAAUCAUCAACAGCAAAGAAAAGAAGGGUGGAGAGGAUGGCGAUUCGUUCCAAGAAGAAAAACAAUCAAACAGAAAAUCAGGGUAAUACUAAAUCAAAAAACCUAUUAAUCUAUUUCAUUUCUGCAAACCAAUGGUUGCUUUAACGUUUUUUCUAUCUUAUAUAUACAGAAAACAUUCCUCCUAAUUCUGAAGCUAACCCCAUAUCACCAAUGCAACCAAACAGAGUUUCACCUAAUAGCUUGAGUGAUAUUACAAAUGGUAUUAUCAAUUACUAAGAGUAUAUUUAAUGCCUUGGAUAAUAUUAUGAUUUCACAGCUAUUUAUUUGAAAUAUUUUCAGUAGAAUGUGAAUCUCCAAGGAUGAAACGAAUGCGUAUUAUAAAGGAGACGAAAGAUAAAAGAAAGAAAGGAGAAUCAUGUAAGAAUGUUGUUCACAACCAGAAUCAUGUCAAAACUUAGUUUACAACAAGAAUCAUGGAAAUCAUACCUUAUUUUCAGCUUCAGCUCCAAGUACUAACUUGGACCAAAACUUGGACGAGACGACACCGAACGUUGACGAGACGACACAGAACGGCAAGAGCAAUGGCAAUGGAUUUCCAUGUACUGCAGCAAGUAGGAGGAAAACAAACGUGCAUAAGGAACCAUAUAUGCAAGAAUCAAGACAUGAUAAUCACAAAGAAGCUCCAUCUAAAGGUACAUACUUUUUAGCAUCAUCCGAUCCUAACUAAUAAAUUUUUCAGAGUUUAAACUAUAAUGUUUUUAUGUUCUUUUCAGACCAUGCAUCAUCCUCACGUUCACAUAAUUCACUAUAUAACUCUGAAGAGUAUGAUGACAAUGGGGAUGCAAUCUACAACUGUGAACACUGUGGAGCUUUAAUGUGGUAUAACGAACGCAUAGAAAAGAGGCGCGUGAAAUCUUACCCAAAGUUCUCACUUUGUUGUAUGCAUGGAAAGAUCGAUUUGGCACCACCACCAGAACUUCCCCAGAUUCUUAAAGAUCUCAUGUUCAAAGGUGAUGAAAGAAGCAAAAAUUUCAUGGAGAAUAUACGACCUUACAACUCAAUGUUUGCAUUCACAUCUAUGGGUGGAACAAUUGACACAUCGGUGAACAAAGGACGAGGGCCAAAUGUUUACCGACUUCAAGGUCAAAAUUGUCAUAGGAUUGGCAGUCUACUUCCUCCUCCAGGAAAACCACCUAAAUUCAAUCAGUUGUAUAUACAAGACACUGAGAAUGAGAAUCAAAACCGAAUAGAAGCAUUCAGGUUUAAAGUUACUUUACAUUGAUUUACAACUAUUACACAAAUUUUUUAUGUUAUUCUUUGCAUCUUUAUUUUCCAGAACUUCUCAUUAUAUUUAAUUUUUGCAGUGCAAAGAGAACUGGUCAAUUACCUGAAUCAAAAACCCUACGAGAUGAUAUUGUGGAAGAUAUAAAAAAGAUGCUUAAUGAGUAUAAUCCAUACUCAAAGAUUCUGAGAACAGCAAAAGAUCGUUUCAAAGAUACACCUUCGUCAAAUGUUCAGUUGAAAUUGAUUUCGAGGCGAACUGCAGGUGCUACAAGUAGUACAAGUGAAAAAACUUACAAUCUUCCUACCACAACAGAAGUUGCUGCUUUAUAUGCUGGAGAAUUUGAUAUAGAAAUGGAGCCAAGAGAUGUUGUGUUGGAAACAAGGGACGGAAAUUUAAAGAGAAUAAGUGAGCUUCAUGCUGGAUAUCUUCCAUUACAAUAUCCGCUUUUGUUUCCCUACGGAGAAGACGGUUACCACAUAGAUUUACAACUAAAGAAGACAACAACAGGUUCAACAAAUCCACGAACAAGGGUUAGUAUGAGGGAAUUUUUUGCUUACAAGCUCAUGGAACGUCCAAAUCAUCCCACUUCUUUGAUGAGCUCAGGGAAAUUAUUUCAACAGUUUCUGGUAGAUGGAUUGACAAUGAUCGAGGCAGAAAGAAUAGGCUACUUGAAGCUAAACCAAAAGACUUUACGUGCUGAUAAAUACGUCAACGUAGAAGCUGCCGCUGAUAAAGGAAACAUGAACACCUCAAAGGUUGGUAAGCGUAUAGUGCUACCAUCUACCUUCAUUGGUAGCGCACGAUGUACGCAAGAAAGAUAUAUGGAUGCAAUGGCAGUUUGUCAGCACUUUGGAUAUCCAGAUUUGUUUAUUACGUUCACUUGCAAUCCAAAAUGGCCUAAAAUUACAAGAUUUCUAAAUGCAAGAGGUCACCAAUCAAUAGACAGAGCUGAUAUUGUGGCUAGAAUCUUUAAGAUUAAGCUCGACAAUUUGAUUGCUGAUAUUAAACAGAAUAAUGUCUUCGGUCCUGCAGCAGCAGGUAAAAACAUCUAACACUUCUUUUUAUUGUUCAUUUUUAGAAUAAUUUCCUUUAAGUUUUGAUUUGUCGUAAUGAUACUACAUGUUUUAUGCAGUUUUGUACACAGUAGAAUUUCAAAAAAGAGGACUACCACAUGCCCAUAUCCUACUCUUUUUGCAGAAGGGAUCAAAAUUGUCAUCAACAACUGCCAUUGAUACAGUUAUCUCUGCUGAAAUUCCAGACGAAGCAACUAAUCCCAGCCUCUACAAUGUUGUCAAAGAAUUUAUGAUACAUGGACCUUGUGGGCUUGCAAAUCCUAAAUCACCAUGUAUGGAUAAAAGAAAGUGCACUAAGAAAUUCCCUAAAGAUUUCAGCAGCAGCACUUGCAUCAACAAAGAUGGAUUUCCAGUUUACAAACGAAGAGAUGAUGGUCGAUCAGUUGAGAAAAAUGGACCUGUUCUAGACAAUGGAUUUGUUGUUCCUUACAACGCAUAUCUACUUCUCAAGUAUCAAGCCCACAUCAAUGUGGAGUGGUGCAGCCAAACAAAAGCAAUCAAGUAUUUAUUCAAAUACAUCAACAAGGGAAGUGAUCGUGUCUUAGCUACAACAAAGAAAAAUCCAAUAGGAAAUGAUGCAUCUUCAGACCCGGACGUAGAACAUGUUAUAGAUGAAAUCGAGCGCUUCUAUGAUUUUAGGUAAAAUUUGUUUCUAAGAUAGUAUACUACAUGUCUUUGUUUUUGGAAGGUUAAUUUACGGUUUUCUAAUUUCUUUAAAGGUACAUUGCACCAUGUGAAGCUACGUGGAGGAUAUUUGGAUUUGAAAUACACUAUAGUAGUGUUCAUAUUCAAAGACUGAAUAUUCAUCUAGAAGGAGAGCAUAGUGUUAUGUACGAUGAUGAUGAUGAUGUUGAUGAAGUCCUAACCAAAGAAGCAAAUCAAACCUCGCAACUAUUAGAGUGGAUGAAAACGAACAGCCGUGACGAUUUCGCUAAGACACUCACGUACGCUGAAUUUCCAUUUUGGUUUGUAUGGAACAAGAAAAUAAAAGAAUGGACUGACCGUCAAAGGAAUAUAGCAUUUGGGAGAAUACAUCAUUUUACUCCAGCAGCGGGUAAUUUGUUCUACAUGAGGAUGCUUUUAAACAAAGCAACAGGAGCUACAUGUUUUGAGGACUUACGCACUGUUGAUGGAGUCAUAUAUUCGACCUACAAGGAAGCAUGUUUUGCCCUAAAUCUUCUUGAUGAUGAUAAAGAGUAUAUUGAUGCAAUAACCGAAGCAAGUCAAUGGGGGUCAGCACAUUAUAUGCGAAGAAUUUUUGUUAUGCUUCUUCUUUCAGAAAGUUUGUCAACGCCAAACCGCGUUUGGUCAGAAACGUGGCAUUUACUCUCCGAGGAUAUAUUAUACAUGCAGCAGAAAAUCCGUCAGGCACCAGGUACAUUUUCAUAAGUUAUUUAGGUAUAAUCCAUAAUUUCAUUUAAGUUUAACUGAAACUGAUGUUUUAUCUUCAACCUGUAGAUUUUUCGAUGUCAGAGGAGCAAAUCAAGAAUCAAACUUUGUUUGAAAUUGAAAGGCUUUUGUUAUCUAAUGGAAGUUCUUUAACAAAUUUCCGUGAAAUCCCAUUUCUUGAUGAUAACAAUAUCCCAGCUGCGAUCAACAUGCUCAUAAGUGAUGAAUUAUGUUACGAUAGGCAAGCGUGUCAAGAGGAAUAUCACCGUUUGCUACCUAUGUUGAACAUUGAACAGAAGAAUAUAUUUGAGCGUAUAAUGGCUACAGUGGAUUCAAAAGAAGGAGGUGUUUUCUUU
RNAcentral lists this long non-coding RNA (5574 nucleotides) under Arabidopsis lyrata. RNAcentral's name for it is "long non-coding RNA (ALYR_LNC000576)". The record is from RNAcentral. Lineage: Eukaryota; Viridiplantae; Streptophyta; Magnoliopsida; Brassicales; Brassicaceae.